Molecule: small RNA, 872 nt
Filed under: Pan troglodytes (chimpanzee)
Lineage: Eukaryota; Metazoa; Chordata; Mammalia; Primates; Hominidae
Description: processed transcript
Source: RNAcentral
GGUGAGAAGACAGCGAAAUGGCGCCUCCGGCCCCCGGCCCGGCCUCUGGCGGCUCCGGGGAGGUAGACGAGCUGUUCGACGUGAAGAACGCCUUCUACAUCGGCAGCUACCAGCAGUGCAUAAAUGAGGCGCAGCGGGUGAAGCUGUCAAGCCCAGAGAGAGACGUGGAGAGGGACGUCUUCCUGUAUAGAGCGUACCUGGCGCAGUGUACUGCAGUGGAGGUGGCCCAUGCUGGGCUGAGGGGUCCCUGGUGGGGCAGGGGCUUCCUGUCUGGGGCUCUCCCUGCCAAGCUGAAGACAUGGAAGGAAAUCCUCUGGGGUGGACGGGUGCAGCUGACGCCUCGUCCCUACUGCAGAGGAAGUUCGGUGUGGUCCUGGAUGAGAUCAAGCCCUCCUCGGCCCCUGAGCUCCAGGCCGUGCGCAUGUUUGCUGACUACCUCGCCCACGAGAGUCGGAGGUGAGGCCCCAGAGAAUGGGUUGGCCUGAGGCGUGGGGCCAUCUUCAAGGCCUGUUGGUUAUGAACCUGGGUGGGUGGGGGCAUGGUGUGCAGCGCACAGCAUCCCUCAGAUUAGGCGCCUCUCCCAUCUGCUCCCCUGCUGCUUUGUGCCUCAGUUUCCCUCACCUGCACAGCAGUGUGGGGCUGGUGAUGGAUCCUGCUUCAAAGGGGAGGGUCAGAGACAGUGCUGUGUGUGCACACGCCCUCAUGGAUCACAAGGCACUCUCUGAACCUAGAACUGAAAAUAUCAAUUACCGAGCAGCCCUCUGCAACACCCAGAGCCCCAAGACAGCCCAGGGCGCAGCGGGGGCAGGGCCCUCCCAUCAGUUUUCUUAUUUAUUUAUUUAGAGACGGAGUCUCACUCUGUCACCAGGCUG